UCCCGGGGCUUCUAAACCCACAAACAAAUAGGGAAGCUUGCAUGCAGGCCUCUGCAGUCGACGGGCCCGGGAUCCGAUUCUGACCUAAAGGUACCGGAUCCUUUUUUUUUUUUUUCCGACCUUACCUCCCCCUCCCUUUCUAACCCCCUACCCAACUGGGGAAAAAAAUUCAACCCCACCGGGGCCCCCAAUUAACAAACUUUUAACCAAAAAAGAACCCUUAUUUUCUAAGGUCCCCAAACCAAAGGAUUUGGAAUAACCAUCCCCAAAAUAAAAAGGGCCUUUCUUCACCAUUUCAAUACUUAAAAACCUUAUUUUCGGCAACAAAAACCCCCCAAAAACCCAUUUGAUAACCAUAAACCAAAUGCAGGGGCCUUUCUCUAAUUUAAAUCCUUUCCCAAGGUCCCAACCUCAAUUUCCCGGGCCGCCUUUUACAAA
RNAcentral lists this ribosomal RNA (438 nucleotides) under Bacillus sp. SSR100044. The record is from RNAcentral. Lineage: Bacteria; Bacillati; Bacillota; Bacilli; Caryophanales; Bacillaceae.